RNAcentral lists this small RNA (27 nucleotides) under Bombyx mori (domestic silkworm). RNAcentral describes it as "ovarian small RNA-2706". Lineage: Eukaryota; Metazoa; Arthropoda; Insecta; Lepidoptera; Bombycidae. The record is from RNAcentral.
GAGGACGUGAUGUCGCAGAAGGAAACU